Molecule: long non-coding RNA, 1056 nt
Organism: Pan paniscus (pygmy chimpanzee)
Lineage: Eukaryota; Metazoa; Chordata; Mammalia; Primates; Hominidae
Source: Ensembl
CAGGAGGCAUUAAAAAUUAAACAAGAGAAGAGUCGAUCAGCUUCCAAUCUCGGGUUUAUAGACAGGAAAAUGCUUAAUGACAGGUGGUCUCUGUACCAGAGGUGGCCUCUGAGAGACAUUUCUCUUGAUUUUAUUUUUUAAUUAACUUUUAUUUUCAGUAUUUUGUCCCCCUUUUCUGCCCCCAAUGGAAUAAUAUUUAAAUGAUAAAAGGCUCACCGCUGUUUCCAGAGCAGCCCAGACCACCUCUCCACCCAGCUGCAAGGGGAGGGAAUCUUUAAAGAUCACUCUGUUUUGGAAUUCUACUGUUGCCAAGUGGCACACAUGGAUUCUCAUCAUAUGGCUCCCAACUGCAGUUCUUUAAGCUAAAGAGUGCAGUUCUUCACCGCUUCCUUGUGACAGUCUCCUAAUUACCCAUUCUGAGCCCUCUGAAACAGCAUUCCUCCUAGUUAAGGAUCUCUGCCAUCACCGCAAGACACCACACGCUUUGCUGAAAUAGCUGGAGAAUGGGUCCCUGUCUCCUGCCACUUACUCGCCCUGCUCCUGGUUUAUGGCACACCACAUGUGCUAAAGUGGAUUUCUUAUCCUGCUCCAAGUUAGCCAAGAGCGUCUGUACAACCACUGGGAAGUCAACUUCACUUCAGAUCUCGCCUGCACCUCUCCACUCUAUGGUCUGCCCAGGAGCUAAUGGAUUUGGAGAUGUAGCAGACCUGGAGCUAAUUCUAUCCUGCUGCUUAUUAGUGAGGCAGUCUUGGGCAGAGAGAACACUGACUCAGUUGAAAGUGCUCAGAAAGUCUUGACCUCAUAGAAUUCUUGCAAGUAUUAAAUGAGAAAAUGAAUAUAAAAGACUCAGCAGAGCACGUGACAUAAAGUAAGGACUAAAGAAAGAGAGGAUGUUGUUGCUACAAAUAUCACUACCUCCAGUUGUCAAAAUCCUUUCAUCAUGUCAAAAGUUAAUCCAAAUGCAACCUCCAAGGUUAAUGUAUUUGGAAGCGCUCUUUCCCCUCUGAACUGUAGAGCUAAAUUGCAUAGAGGGGAUUUCUCACAUAUAGCUAUUCC